This 512-nucleotide ribosomal RNA is filed under the name uncultured bacterium. RNAcentral's name for it is "bacterial SSU rRNA". It matches the Rfam family "Bacterial small subunit ribosomal RNA", at positions 29 to 537 of the family's 1533-position model. The record is from RNAcentral.
AUGAACGCUGGCGGCAGGCCUAACACAUGCAAGUCGAGCGGUUGAAGGUAGCUUGCUACCUGAUGCAGCGGCGAACGGGUGAGUAAUGCAUGGGAAUCUGCCUGGUAGUGGGGGACAACGUCUCGAAAGGGACGCUAAUACCGCAUACGCCCUACGGGGGAAAGGGGGGGAUCUUCGGACCUCUCGCUAUCAGAUGAGCCCAUGUCGGAUUAGCUAGUUGGUGGGGUAAAGGCCUACCAAGGCGACGAUCCGUAACUGGUCUGAGAGGAUGAUCAGUCACACUGGAACUGAGACACGGNCCAGACUCCUACGGGAGGCAGCAGUGGGGAAUAUUGGACAAUGGGCGCAAGCCUGAUCCAGCCAUGCCGCGUGUGUGAAGAAGGCCUUCGGGUUGUAAAGCACUUUCAGUGGGGAGAAAGGUGAUUCACCUAAUACGUGAGUCAAUUGAUGUUACCCACAGAAGAAGCACCGGCUAACUUCGUGCCAGCAGCCGCGUAAUACGAAGGGUGCAA